AUUGAACGCUGGCGGCAGGCCUAACACAUGCAAGUCGAACGAGUGGCGGACGGGUGAGCAAUGUCUGGGAAACUGCCUGAUGGAGGGGGAUAACUACUGGAAACGGUAGCUAAUACCGCAUACCAUAAGUUGUGCCCAGAUGGGUUUAGCUUGUGGGUGGGGUAACGGCACACCAAGGCGACGAUCCCGAGCGGGUCUGAGAGGGUGACCAGCCACACUGGAACUGAGACACGGUCCAGACUCCUACGAGUGGCAGCAGUGGAGAAUAUUGCACAAUUGGCGCAAGCCAGAUGCAGCCAUGCCGCGUGUAUGAAGAAGGCCUUCGGGUUGUAAAGUACUUUCAGCGGUGAGGCGUUACCCGCAGAAGAAGCACCGGCUAACUCCGUGCCAGCAGCCGCGGUAAUAC
RNAcentral lists this ribosomal RNA (406 nucleotides) under uncultured bacterium. RNAcentral describes it as "partial 16S ribosomal RNA". It matches the Rfam family "Bacterial small subunit ribosomal RNA", at positions 30 to 526 of the family's 1533-position model. The record is from RNAcentral.